AAUGACGGGUGAGUGACAGUGGGUUCCGGUGUCGAAUUGGACACUUUCGGGAACCCGGAUCGGAACGAUUAUCCGACGAUAAUCGUUUUGAUGUGAGGCAGUGUGUUUGCUGCCAAUUCUAAUGAAUAAUUGUGUUUAGUGGCAGCGGAGGACUCGUAGCGUGAGUCGGUGAGUUUCGGGACAGUUCGUGGGUCCCGGCGGAGUCCCGAUGCAAUUUUCGAGACUUCCGACGUGUUACGGUAAUCGGUUUGGGAAACCGAUUCCCGUGGGUUUCAUGUGGGGUUUGUGAGUUAGUGGUUUGUGUUCGUGGGUUGG
RNAcentral lists this long non-coding RNA (315 nucleotides) under Ananas comosus (pineapple). RNAcentral's name for it is "long non-coding RNA (ACOM_LNC041547)". Lineage: Eukaryota; Viridiplantae; Streptophyta; Magnoliopsida; Poales; Bromeliaceae. The record is from RNAcentral.